Molecule: unclassified non-coding RNA, 756 nt
Filed under: Hevea brasiliensis (rubber tree)
Lineage: Eukaryota; Viridiplantae; Streptophyta; Magnoliopsida; Malpighiales; Euphorbiaceae
Source: RNAcentral
CAAUUUUCAGGGGGAUCAUCAAUCCAUUAAGAAUGCCAGUAAGGGUGGUCGAAACCUCUGCACCUACUCAAAUUUCAGGUGCACAUUCUGGACAGAUUUCGCCACCAUUUUGCACCCUUCUUAGUGUUGGACAGGCUUUCUCUGGUACCCAGAAUGUUUCUAGUCUACAAAAAGAUGAAGCCUGGAGAGUUAAUGUCCGUAUUCAAGGAUGUGACCUUGAGCACGGUUACUUAUGUGGCACUAUGGAAGCUCUGAAUGUUCCUAUGGCGGACACGCCAGUGGUAACCUUCUGGGAAGGGGAGAUUGUUGAUGGCAAGAAUUACAGUUUCUUCACUGGUAAAUGGGAAGCAUCAUCGGAAGAUGAUAUAAGACAUUGGACAAAGUUUCCAUCCUUUUCCCCUUUCUUGUGCCAAGUGGAGGUUGAUGGUGGCAAAUCUUUAGACUUGAGUAACUACCCGUACAUAUUUAUGAGGUGGAAAGAGCAAUAUUUUGUCAAUGUUGGAACAGACUGUGGGUUAACCAUAGCUGGGUUUUACUAUGUUUGCUUCUCCUGUACUGAUGGCUCCAUUAGUGGGUUCUAUUAUGAUCCUAAUAGCAGCCCAUUUCAGAAGCUUGAACUGAAAUCGACCAACGAGGGGCGAUCAGGCUUCAGUUUUUCGUCUUAUGAAUUGCAGUAAAAUGGAUUAUGGGCACUUCAUUCCAGGAUUAGCUACUGUUUCGAGUGAACUUGUUGAAUGGAGCUUGAAUUUGCUGGAC